RNAcentral lists this ribosomal RNA (494 nucleotides) under uncultured bacterium. Its description in RNAcentral is "partial 16S ribosomal RNA". It matches the Rfam family "Bacterial small subunit ribosomal RNA", at positions 28 to 506 of the family's 1533-position model. The record is from RNAcentral.
GACGAACGCUGGCGGCGUGCCUAAUACAUGCAAGUAGAACGCUGAAGGAGGAGCUUGCUUCUCUGGAUGAGUUGCGAACGGGUGAGUAACGCGUAGGUAACCUGCCUGGUAGCGGGGGAUAACUAUUGGAAACGAUAGCUAAUACCGCAUAACAGUAGAUAUCGCAUGAUAUCUACUUGAAAGGUGCAAUUGCAUCACUACCAGAUGGACCUGCGUUGUAUUAGCUAGUUGGUGAGGUAACGGCUCACCAAGGCGACGAUACAUAGCCGACCUGAGAGGGGGAUCGGCCAAACGGGGACUGAGACACGGCCCAGACUCCUACGGGGGGCAGCAGUAGGGAAUCUUCGGCAAUGGACGGAAGUCUGACCGAGCAACGCCGGGUGAGUGAAGAAGUUUUUCGGAUCGAAAAGCUUUGUUGUAAGGGAAGAACGGGUGGGAGAGGGGAAAGUUCCCACUGGGACGGUAUUUUACCAGAAAGGGAGGGCGAACUACGU